CUAGGAGUGCCAGAAGUAUAUGGGGCUGGUUUAGGACUAGUAUAUGGUUGUACCCUCCUAGU
This 62-nucleotide transfer RNA is filed under the name Paramphistomum leydeni. RNAcentral describes it as "tRNA-Leu". The record is from RNAcentral. Lineage: Eukaryota; Metazoa; Platyhelminthes; Trematoda; Plagiorchiida; Paramphistomidae.